UAACAGGAAAUGCACUGACCACACCACAU
This 29-nucleotide non-coding RNA is filed under the name Mus musculus (house mouse). The record is from RNAcentral. Lineage: Eukaryota; Metazoa; Chordata; Mammalia; Rodentia; Muridae.